GAGUGUUCCCAAAGUGCCAAGUGUUGCGACUCGAACGGUUAAACGUACCACCCACCCACCAUCUCAACCAGGGUGCUGGUUGGUCUAAUGUUACAAGUGCGGUGCCCGAACCCAAUGCAAACGACAUUCCACCGUGUGAUCAACACGAUCUUCACAAGUUGAUUCAUAUCGAGCCCUGAUGAAGAUCCCAACCAUAGGAUCGAAACGUAGGCAAUGAUUUAGAAUAAUCAACGCUUUUUCUGUGACUGAAAGCCGAAAAACUACCAAGUU
Long non-coding RNA from Aedes albopictus (Asian tiger mosquito), 270 nucleotides. RefSeq lists it as uncharacterized. Lineage: Eukaryota; Metazoa; Arthropoda; Insecta; Diptera; Culicidae. The transcript is spliced from 3 exons. The record is from RefSeq and is a predicted model, not a curated record.